CUGCUCCAGUGAGUUAUUUACAUUAGUGUGCCUCAGAGCAGAUGGAGGGCUUUAUAUCCCAUUAUGAAAGGCAUGCAAGUUACAGUGACAUGAGUCCUAAUUAUGAACAACUUAAACUGCACCAUCUGCAUUUAACAAAGCUCCAUAUGCAGGGGGUGAUGGAGCUUGGCUGCCUGCGUUUGUUAGCAACACGUGCAGAAUAGACACCGACAGGAGGAAUCUGAAGAUGCUCAGGCAGGCUCUGUGGGAGGAACUGGGAGUGUUUGUGGUGUCCCUUCUGCCCUCACUGACCAAACAGCAAACUGGGACAACAGUCAUCCCAGGACAGAAUUAUUGCCUCCUGUUAAGAAGGAAAGUUUCACAUCAUCUUCCCCGUGGCAAUCUGAGCAGACAGUGUGUAAUUUUAGAUGCUCAGAUUGAAAGCCCAAUUCUUUUGCCACUGACAGUGUUCUGCCAUGCAAAUUUCAGCAUAAAGGAUCCGUUGAUUUCAGCUUAAUGGAGAAUAAGAAAAUUAAUCUUUCUUUGGAAAAGGAAAUUUCAUGGAGGCAAGUAGCCCUAGUUACCCAAAACACAAAUUAGUAUCCAAAAGUUUGACUUGAAAGGGGGUCUUUCUGUGUGCUGCAGUAGGAGGAAUUGUUUCUCUGCUUCUUUAAAGAGCAUUAAACACAGUCGGUAACUGAGAGAAGAUUUAGCAGGGGAGUGCUUAUUUUCCUUCUGACAUUAGCAGUUAGCUCCACUGGAGAAAAUUUUAAGACCAGAGCCACACUUAGCUGGUUCUUCCCCAUAAUUAUGAGCACUUGAAAUACGAGAGAAUUCUAGACAGUGCGCAAAACUCUUGGGUUGAAAAGAUAAAAAUCUCAAGUGAACACAAAAAGAUUUUUUUCUGCAUGCUUGCAUGGAAAAAAGGGUGAAGGAGGUCAGAUAUGUACGUGCCUGUGGUUAUCACAGGUGAUCUGCACUGCAGCUCCUCUGGCUGUGUCUUCAGAGCCCCAAAAGCACAAGCUAGCAAUAGCAGUCCCCUAAACCCAGGCCUCUCAUGGCCCUGCCCUCAGCCACCCUUUUCCUACCUCGCUCUGAAAGGCUUUGAUCUGGAGCACUCUGAAGCAGAGUGAAUAACUGGUGAGCUCUUGAGAUGACAAACAUCUUGCUCUAGGAGGGUUUUGUGAAUCAUCCUUUUAGUGAGAGAUGGCAGGAGCUGAGGUAGCUAUUAUUACACUGGGUUCAGCUCCUCCUCAGGCUGGGCUCUGUAUCUCUGCCAGAUAA
This 1263-nucleotide long non-coding RNA is filed under the name Cyanistes caeruleus (blue tit). RNAcentral describes it as "lncRNA (ENSCCEG00000003067.1)". The record is from RNAcentral. Lineage: Eukaryota; Metazoa; Chordata; Aves; Passeriformes; Paridae.